UUGCCAACCCCAUUAUCGUUUAUUUUAAAAUUCACAACAGUUACUAGUAUAGGCUUUGCUUUUUACCCCGAAAUAUCCUAAAUCCUGGUAUUUUUUAAAUUGUCUUUAUCAUCCAAAAUAUCAGCUAUUUUUCCCUAAAAAAGGGAGAAUUCCCUAAAAGUGGAAGCACUGCUUCAAAGUACGCUACAUUUUUUGGGUGAAUGAAGUUAGCCCCUCAAAAAAAAUUUUUUUUCCUGUUUUCUACUUAUUUUCUAUUAAUUCGUUUGUUUAUCAUUUGUUCUUGAUUGUUCACUGUUAAUAACUGUUUGUUCCCCAUUUAUUUAUUUUAAAAAAAAUAUUAAAAAUAUAUCUAAAAGUUAGCCCCUCGAUUGCAAUUUUUAAUAUUUUUUCGUCCUUAAUUACUCGUAAAUAUUCAUUUUCGAUUGUUCUUAUAUAAAAUACGUUUGUUCUCUUUCGAAAUUACUCAUUUUUUGUUUAAUUAAUUGUAUUAGUUGAAUAAAUGUAUACAAAAUAUGUGUACUGCGCAUGCCAUAAGUGUAUAAUCUAUGGCGCAUGCGUCAACUAUAAUGCCUAAACUUUCUACGCGGUUUUAAUCGUGAAAAAAAAACAAUUAUAAAUCCUGAAGGAUCAAUUAAUUGGUAUACAGUUUAAUUAAAAAAAUUAAAAACAAAAUAAAUAAAAUAAUGUGCAUUCGCGUAAAGUUAGACCAAAUACAUUUUUUCCAUCCUCCUAUAUACCUAUCGCUAUGAAGGUAUAAAAAAGAUAGGUUAAGAGUUCACAUAGGUAAUAUAAACAAAUAAGUAAAUAUGUUCAUUAUUUAUCUUUCAAGAGAUAAUGUAGGUAUACAUUAUAAUAACAUUUUGACACAGUCGAAAUUAUAUUCCUAACAUUAGUAAAAUAACAUUUUAAUAUUUUUUUUAUAGGUUAUGUAUUGAAAUUGUUGGAAAAUUAUUUCAUGUUUUAGCUGGAAAACUACAUGGAGAAUUAUAUGCAAUACAAGAUAAUGAGCUCCAUCAAAUGAAUUCGAAUGAAACCAAACUGUUUACCAUCCAAAUUCGAUUGUCGGGCAGAUAGAAAACGAAAAUUCACUCAUAGUGAACCUCGGCCUGCAUUUGUGAAACGGCAAAGACUCACUAUUAUCAAGGAAAUUGAAGAGACGACUAAAAAUGAGAUGUGUCGUAUUAUUAUACCUUUGCCAUCUUGUAGUCAAGAUGUCCAGCCACUUGAAAAUAGGUGUAGUAAUGACAAAGCUAUCCAAGUAGCUCCAGCACAGGAACACAAAGGCAAGGCAAGUGUGUAUUGCCACAUCACCCCUUAAUAUAUCUGAAGCAAGUAUAAGUAAACAAUCAGAACCAGCAAAAAAAAAACUGUUGUUCCUGAGGACAAAUUUAACAGUGAUGAGUCAAAUGCACCAGCAACAGAAGGAUCAACUGUUGACUAUGAGUUAUCUCUCUAUAUCUCCACUCCAUCAAAGACUUGUGCACUUCAGACUAUAGCUCUCAAGAAGACUAAAAAAUUGAAAAAAUGAAUGUGUUAACAACUUUAUCUAAAGUGAAAAAUAAACAAUGUUUAUAUAUUGGUCUUCCACAAGAAUUAUGUUUCAUAAUAGGCUUGAUUGAGAAACAUACAAAUGUUUCUGAACAAAAUAUUAUAUUAUGUCUGAUGAGAAUAACAUUAAAUAGAACAUUCUCUCAAUUGGCUGAUGAUUUCGAUUUAUCUGUAAGUCAAGCAAGCAAUAUAUUUUUCAACAAACUCCCAGAAAUUGCAAAUGUAAUAUCACCCCUUGUUAGACUAUAAAAAAAGUGUGUGUGUCCGCUCCGACGCACGACUGGAGUUUACUGGAUAUAAAAAAUUAAACGAAACAAUACGAGAAAUAGUUCUAUAUUACGACAACACGAUACACUACAGAUUAUUAACAAAUUAACGAGACACAAAACAAACGACUAACAAAUAUAUGAAAAUACAAUAAUGAGAGAAACGCGCGAUCAGUACGAGGCUUUGUGGCGGACUGCCGGCGCAGCAGCCCGGCGUCACCUGCGAUAACGCGGCCGCGCGUUGGCUCCUGAUUGGCGCGCGCACGCAUCACGCAAUCAGGAGCCAAUCAGGCGCAUAACGCAUUUCGUGUGACAUGCUAGUACGAUUUUGGUCCCCAUAAUUUUCAUACCCCGGGCCUAUAUAUGUAAAUCGAUUCUAAAGGAGUAAACUCCAAAAAACAAUACAAUAAAUAUAUAUGCAGGAAGGAUAAUUGAUGUCAACUUGGUGGAAAAUAGAAAGUUUUUAGAUAGUUUGCCACCUACAAAACUCUUUAAUUAAAUAAGUAAUCCUUACUUAUAAAUAGGAAGUUUUGUAAGUAUUUUCACUCUUCAUUCAAAAACUACUGAACAGAUUUUAAUAAGACUUAUGCUGGUCUUCUAUGGCUAGCAACUCAUUAUUAUUUUGAUUCUGUUUUCCACAAAAGUGCUAAAUAUGGGCUUAUAUAUAUGAAAAGGAAUAAAUAUUAAUGUUAUGUAACCUUUGUACCUGUACGUUAAGAAUAAUUUUUAAUAAAACAUAAUUUAAAUUGAAAUAUUAUUUUUAUUAAAUCACAUUCACUUUGUACACAUCAAUAUUUUGUACUCCCUAAAAGGAAAAUAGGUAUAAAGUUUUUUUUAAAUAUUUAACAUUACAUUUUUGUGUAAGAUUAGAAAAUUGUUAUUCUUCCAAAAAGAAACUACAUUAUCUAACAACUGUGCAACUUACUCGGAAUCAAAAUCAAUACCUACUAAUUAUAGUGACCUGAUUAGUUUUUUCAAAGUUGCUGGAUGCUACACAAAAGUAACAAGUUUUACUUUUAGCACAAUACAUAUGCAUUUGAACUUGUGCAUAAUAUCUUUCUUUAAUUUUUUUUUGCCUUUUUAUUUAUGGAAACAGCAUUACUCACUUGCUUGUUUGUAGAUCUAUCAAAAAAACAUAAUUUAUGUUUUUUUUAGCACAGUGGGCAAUACCCUAUUAUUCAUAUUAAUUAUAUACGGCGCGGCGAUGCGAAAAUUCAUUACUGAAUUAUUUAAGAAUGAUAGGCAUAAUAUAAUAUUUUAAUUCGCGAUCUGUUUAUAAUUUUUAAUAUAUGAUUUAAAAAUAAGUUAUCUUUAAUAUUUUUAAUUUUGUGAUUUAUGGGGUGGUCACAGUCAUUAUUAUAAAAAUAGAAAUUUUGAGGAAAUAUAAAUGUUUAAUACAAAUUAUUUUGAUAAUCGAAAUAAAUUCAUAUCAAUCCAAAUUCAUAUUUGAACUAUGAAAAUUGUAUGGUAUGUAAACAGAAAUAUAUUUUAUAAUUAUAA
Bombyx mori (domestic silkworm) is the source of this 3314-nucleotide long non-coding RNA. RefSeq lists it as uncharacterized. The transcript has 2 exons. The record is from RefSeq and is a predicted model, not a curated record. Lineage: Eukaryota; Metazoa; Arthropoda; Insecta; Lepidoptera; Bombycidae.